Molecule: non-coding RNA, 148 nt
Organism: Pan troglodytes (chimpanzee)
Lineage: Eukaryota; Metazoa; Chordata; Mammalia; Primates; Hominidae
Rfam family: Metazoan signal recognition particle RNA
About the family: The signal recognition particle (SRP) is a universally conserved ribonucleoprotein.
Source: Rfam
GCCAGGCGUGGUGGCACACACCUGUAGUUCCAGCUACUUGGGAGGCUGAGGUAGGAGGAUCGCUUGAGCCCAGGAGGUUGAGGCUGCAGUGAGCUAUGAUUGUGCCACUGCACUCCAGCCUGGGCAACAGAGCAAGACCCCGCCUCAA